Molecule: non-coding RNA, 611 nt
Organism: Cinara cedri
Lineage: Eukaryota; Metazoa; Arthropoda; Insecta; Hemiptera; Aphididae
Source: the annotation of a GenBank genome assembly
AUGAAACGAUAACAGUACAAAUAAAUUUAAUAGACUUAAAACUAAGACUAUUUCUUGCAAAUAGCGAAAGAAAAAUAAAGUACUAUAUAAACAAACAAUAUUAAAGCAAAUAUAUUCAGAAUAAACUUGAUGGCUUUAUUGACACAAUGAAACAUGCGGUGUAAAGGAUGGUUGUGACUGUAGGUGGUGGAGUGAGUAGAGAUAUAAAAUGAUGCAUGAUGUAUUGAGGGGUAGGCAGGAACACGGAAAUUAAUAGAGGAAAAGUGAUCUGGGGCAUUAAUUGAACCAUCAAGUUGACCUUGAAAAAAAUGGAAAUCAGCAUCAAUUUGUGAGGAAAAAAGGGUGAAAAUGUCUAGCUUUGAAAGUACGAAUGAGUAGCCAUGUUAUUAAUGCAUAAUUUUGUGUAGGAAAAAAAUGUAUGAAAGAAAAUUUUAAAAUAUGAUAGUAUCUAUUUAAAAAGAAUUUAAAAAAUAAGCAUUUAUAUAUUUUUGUAUGUUUUUAGUAUUAGUAUUAUUAAUUUUGUUCUAUUAUUAGGUUACAAAAUUACAAAAAGACUCAGAGAAUUAUUAUUUAAAUCUCUUGUAUCUCAAGAAACUGCAUAUUUUGAUCGU